Long non-coding RNA from Platichthys flesus (European flounder), 525 nucleotides. RefSeq lists it as uncharacterized. NCBI's taxonomy places the organism in Eukaryota, Metazoa, Chordata, Actinopteri, Pleuronectiformes, Pleuronectidae. The transcript is spliced from 3 exons. The record is from RefSeq and is a predicted model, not a curated record.
CGUGCACACCAGAAAUGCUCUCUCAGCCGCACACUGAGGGAACUUUCUAUCUCGUGUGCACACUCGCACGCUGACAAGCGAGCAAGCAGGCGGGCAGGAAGGCACACCCCCCUCCCAUUAUCUGUGCGGAGGGCAGAUCUGCUCGUAUUGGUGAGAGCAGCACGGGGGCUGUGUUCUGCUCCUCAGCAGCAGCAGCAGCAGCAUCACUAACAGCAGCAGCAGCAGCAGGACGAGUCCAGAGGAGAGCAGUCAUCACCAGAGAUCACACACCAUCCUCCAGAGCGGAGGUGUGUGCCAGUGGGACAGCCAUGGAGGACACCAUCACCUGCAGCCACGCCACCUUCUCCCAGGUGUUUGGACGCCAGGGGCAGCUCAUGCAAGCCACGGUGCAGUCUCUGAACAGCCUGAACGACCAGAUUGCUCAGUUCAUGGUGACCAGACCCUGCAGCCUGGCGGACGCGGAUGUGGCCUUCAUACUGGGCGAGAGGGACACCCUGAGGAAGUCCAUGACUCUGAUGAGACACC